UUGGACGGCCAUAGGGACUUGGUUCACCUGUUCCCAUCCUGAACACAGAAGUUAAGAAGGUCUCCGUAUUGGUGAGUACUGCAUUACGCGGGAAAAUCGGUAAGCUGUCCACC
Molecule: ribosomal RNA, 113 nt
Filed under: Candidatus Woesearchaeota archaeon
Lineage: Archaea; Nanobdellati; Candidatus Woesearchaeota
Source: RNAcentral